GUCGGACGGGAUUCAGGGAGUAGCUUGCUACAAACUGAUGAGAGUGGCGCACGGGUGCGUAACGCGUGAGCAACCUACCCAUAUCAGGGGGAUAGCCUCUCGAAAGAGAGAUUAACACCGCAUAACAUCAUUUACCGGCAUCGGAUUAUGAUCAAAUAUUUAUAGGAUAUGGAUGGGCUCGCGUGACAUUAGCUAGUUGGAGGGGUAACGGCCCACCAAGGCUACGAUGUCUAGGGGCUCUGAGAGGAGAAUCCCCCACACUGGUACUGAGACACGGACCAGACUCCUACGGGAGGCAGCAGUAAGGAAUAUUGGUCAAUGGAGGGAACUCUGAACCAGCCAUGCCGCGUGCAGGAUGACUGCCCUAUGGGUUGUAAACUGCUUUUGUCAGGGAAUAAACCUUUCCACGUGUGGGAAGCUGAAUGUACCUGAAGAAUAAGGAUCGGCUAACUCCGUGCCAGCAGCCGCGGUAAUACGGAGGAUCCAAGCGUUAUCCGGAUUUAUUGGGUUUAAAGGGUGCGUAGGCGG
RNAcentral lists this ribosomal RNA (528 nucleotides) under Bacteroidetes bacterium 23-9. RNAcentral describes it as "SSU rRNA". It matches the Rfam family "Bacterial small subunit ribosomal RNA", at positions 61 to 578 of the family's 1533-position model. Lineage: Bacteria; Pseudomonadati; Bacteroidota. The record is from RNAcentral.